This 483-nucleotide ribosomal RNA is filed under the name uncultured bacterium. RNAcentral describes it as "partial 16S ribosomal RNA". It matches the Rfam family "Bacterial small subunit ribosomal RNA", at positions 30 to 506 of the family's 1533-position model. The record is from RNAcentral.
AUUGAACGCUGGCGGCAGGCCUAACACAUGCAAGUCGAGCGGUAGAGAGAAGCUUGCUUCUCUUGAGAGCGGCGGACGGGUGAGUAAUGCCUAGGAAUCUGCCUGGUAGUGGGGGAUAACGUUCGGAAACGGACGCUAAUACCGCAUACGUCCUACGGGAGAAAGCAGGGGACCUUCGGGCCUUGCGCUAUCAGAUGAGCCUAGGUCGGAUUAGCUAGUUGGUGGGGUAAUGGCUCACCAAGGCGACGAUCCGUAACUGGUCUGAGAGGAUGAUCAGUCACACUGGAGCUGAGACACGGUCCAGACUCCUACGGGAGGCAGCGGUGGGGAAUAUUGGACAAGGGGCGAAAGCCUGAUCCAGCCAUGCCGCGUGUGUGAAGAAGGUCUUCGGAUUGUAAAGCACUUUAAGUUGGGAGGAAGGGCAGUAAAUUAAUACUUUGCUGUUUUGACGUUACCGACAGAAUAAGCACCGGCUAACUCUGU